Molecule: ribosomal RNA, 477 nt
Filed under: uncultured bacterium
Lineage: Bacteria
Description: SSU rRNA
Rfam family: Bacterial small subunit ribosomal RNA
Source: RNAcentral
AGGAUGAACGCUGGCGGCGUGCCUAACACAUGCAAGUCGAACGUCCUGUCUCGCAAGAGGCAGGGAGUGGCGGACGGGUGAGUACCACGUGGGUUAUCUACCGUGAGGUGAGGAAUACCGGCGAGAAAUCGCCGACAAGACCGCAUAGCCUCGGUGCAAGUCGAGGAAAGCUCUCUCGAGAGAGGGAGCGCCACACGAGGAGCCUGCGCCCGAUUAGCUAGCUGGUGGAGUAAUGGUUCACCAGGGCGACGAUCGGUAGCUGGUCUGAGAGGACGAUCAGCCACACUGGGAUUGAGAACGGCCCAGACUCCUACGGGGGGCAGCAGUGAGGAAUUUUCGUCAAUGGGGGCAACCCUGAACGAGCAACGCCGCGUGCAGGAAGAAGGUUUUCGGAUCGUAAACUGCUUUUCUCGGGAAGAGAACGGACGGUACCCGAGGAAUCAGCCCCGGCUAACUACGUGCCAGCAGCCGCGGUAA